Molecule: ribosomal RNA, 301 nt
Filed under: uncultured bacterium
Lineage: Bacteria
Description: partial 16S ribosomal RNA
Rfam family: Bacterial small subunit ribosomal RNA
Source: RNAcentral
CAGCCGCCGCGGGAAUACGAAGGGGGCUAGCGUUGUUCGGAAUUACUUGGCGUAAAGCGCAUGUAGGCGGAUUUGUUAGUCAGGGGUGAAAUCCCGGGGCUCAACCUCGGAACUGCCUUUGAUACUGCAAGUCUCGAGUCCGGAAGAGGUGAGUGGAAUUCCUAGUGUAGAGGUGAAAUUCGUAGAUAUUAGGAAGAACACCAGUGGCGAAGGCGGCUCACUGGUCCGGUACUGACGCUGAGGUGCGAAAGCGUGGGGAGCAAACAGGAUUAGAUACCCCCGUAGUCCCUGUCUCUUAUAC